UCUAUAAUGAGAUUUGAUGCCCUCUUCUGGCC
This 32-nucleotide non-coding RNA is filed under the name Rattus norvegicus (Norway rat). Lineage: Eukaryota; Metazoa; Chordata; Mammalia; Rodentia; Muridae. The record is from RNAcentral.